Symphalangus syndactylus (siamang) is the source of this 4418-nucleotide long non-coding RNA. RefSeq lists it as uncharacterized. NCBI's taxonomy places the organism in Eukaryota, Metazoa, Chordata, Mammalia, Primates, Hylobatidae. The record is from RefSeq and is a predicted model, not a curated record.
AUUCCAAAAUUUUUUGCGUGAAAACAUAAAUACUCUUCCUGAGAAAGAGUUUGGGGUAGCAUGAAAUAUACAAGUAUAGACUUUAAAAAAUUUCCUAAAAGAACACUCACGAUUUUUUUUUUUUUUUUUUAACAGAGGAUGCAAUCUUGGGCGAAACCUACUUUUUGGUCUCUGUCUACUAAACAGCAUAAGCUUUAUCUUUGAUGCUUAGCUUAUCCAGCAAAAGAGAGGCCCAUAGCCCCCUGUGCUAGAAAGAGCAUGGGCUGGGAAUUAAAAGGCAGGUUUCCCUAGACUUGACUGUCUUGAGUUUCACUGUUUGACGCAGUCCAUUUUAUUUCCUUCCCUGGCCCAUAGUUUACCAGUUUAUAAAAACAGGCUAGACUAGCUGAUCCCUAAGGGUUCUUUUCAUCUUUAGUAUCUUAUAAUUUAUUUUUCUUGAAUUAGGUAGAAGGUAAAGACAAAUAGUUAUAAUAGCACAGGAUUCUGUGAAGAUUAAAUGAUACCUACUGUAGGACGUCUAGUUUUCAACCUUGCUGCCUAUAUUUCCUUUCAAUGGGAUCAUUUUGCUAUACUAUUCAUAGCUAAUAUAUGACUUCGUCUUUACAAUCAACUAGCUUGAUCUACAGUGAAAUCUCCUGGUUCCACCCUAUCACUACCACCCCCACUUUCUAAAUCUUGGAACUUCUUAGCCUUGAAGCAGCUUCUUGACUCCGAGCUGGGUAUUUGUUUACUUGGUGUUUUCUAUCAUCUUGGAAUUCUCAUUCAGGACUCUCUGUUCUGUAUUCAUCCUCUCUCUGGUCUCUGUGCUCUUGGCCUCCUCGCUGAUUAUUCUCUUGCAUGGUUUCUUUCCCUUUAUGGCUCCGUUUUUUUUUCAUUUGUUUCAUGUUGUUUGUGUCAGUAUAUUUAAGCUUGGGGUUGGUUUUUUUCGAUCCUUUCUAACAAAACUUUGUUUAUGUUUUCCUUUCUUUUUCUCCUUGCUAGAUUAUCUGUGCCUUUCCUGUAGUUUUAUUCUAUCAGCAACUGCAGAAAAUUUGUUAGUGCAGUUGAAGGUUUUCCCAUUUGUUUACUGGAAACUUCGUUCUCACUCCAAGUCUUCUUAUUCUGAGGAGGUGUCACCUUCUAUGUAAUAUCACUUGGAUACUGAAACUUCUCCAUGAACUGGAAUAAUGUAUGCUUCAGUGUGCAGUUCUCAGAGCCUCAAGAGAAGGCUUUUCCCUCUGGGAGUGUACUGCAUUUGCUCCUUCUGGCCUGGAGACCUGCCCCUUUAACAGGUAAGCUGGAUGAAAGACCCCAGAGCGACCUCCCCACAGUUACACCUCCUAUUUCCUUUCUGGUUCUCACAUGGGCAGGCACUGAUAAAUCAGCUCACAGUACACAGGCUCAGUUUGAAUUUCAACAAAAUUUUCUAAAAACAGUAACCAGAUGCAAUUCAAAUCACAUUUUGUCCACAUAAGGAAUCCAUUCCAAGAAAAGUCAGAGGAUGCGUCUCGUCAGAUGAGUGGCUUCUAAUCUUCCCUGGCCUUGUUUUAGAACUCCAAGAAGAAAUAAUAUCCAGAUUAAUUUUAGAGUUCAGUCAUUGAAUUUGGUCUCAGGAAAAUUGCAUAUAUAAUUUAGUCUUAUAACGAUAACCCCAAGAUCAAAGAUCACUCAAGGGUAGUGAUCCCUCUAGACACCUGUCACACUCAAAACAAUUUCCUCUUUUCAGUUUAAAUAAUUAUUUCAGACUUUGUUUUCUCACAGGCUACUUUGAAGAAACAGGCCACCAUCCUGGGAGUAAAACAGAGUUCUUCACGAAUUACAUCAUUUAUUUUUCAACAAAUAUUAAUUUAAUUUGGUUUAGUUUAACAAAAGCACAUGAUCACAGAUUUGAUAACCAAAUGGAUUCCUUGACGUAAACUUCAGUCCUGGUUUAGCUCUCUUCCAGGAAGAAAAACAAAGUCUCUCAAAGCUCCAAAUAACCCUGUGAUUUUGGAUGAUUGAUUAUGGGAAUGCUGCUUUCACUGUACAUCCAAGCUCUCCUGGCCUCAGUGGAUAAGUAUAUGAGAGCACAGUUUUCCUGGUGUCAGGAUUUGAAGAUCCAGGGAACAAAGAACCUCAAAGAACAACACCUGGAUCGUCAUGGUUUGGCCAGCAGUGCACUUUCUCCAACCUUACAGUCAUACGCAAGACAUUCCUUCUCCCUUUGAAGAAAUCCACAAAAGAAAAAGCAAAAUACUGACAAGUUUUCAAAGCCAUGAUUUACAGGAAUGAAUUCUGAAAAGCAAGUGGCUAACAUCUGAGUUCAUCAUCAAAUAAUAUUUCUAAAGCACCCUCUAGUGUCUGGCCCCAAGCCAGAUGAUUCAACGCCUGGAGAAGCUACAGACUUUUUAAAAGUAAAAUAGACUCAUGUCUGCUCAUGAGAAGCAAGUCGGCAUCAUUUAGGAUGCCUUAGGAAUGUCUCUCUAAAUAAGGAUUAAAAAUGGAUUGCUGUAGAAAAAGUAAUACAAACAGUGAUAAUAUUGAAUGCAAUUUAAAUUCCAUUUUAAAAUAGACAAUAGGUUUUAAAAUAACACGUUGAAAAUUACACUGGAAUUGGCAAAAUUUAAAAUCUUAGGAAGAAAAAUCCUGAUUUGUAUGUGAAAUGGUUUUGAACUGAGGAAAAUUAAGACUAGCAAGAGUAGAUAGGGGUUGUCUAGUAGGAAUGUUAGACCCAUCAGCCAUCUGAUUAUGCUGUGCCUGAUACUAGCCUGUAGUUUUCACCCAGUAAAUUAUCAAGUGGUGCAGUAGAAAGAGCAUGGUAUGUAGAAUCAUAAGACUCAAAGUCUGGAGUCAGCUCUACUACUCAUUUGGCCAUGUGGUUUGGAAUACAUCACAAAAGAUUUAUGAACCUUCGCUUCUUCACAUGUAAAAUUGUGAUGAUUUUGCCAACUUAAUGGAAUUGUUUAGACUUUAGAGGAUUACAUAGGAUACAAAGGACUAGUUCCUUGAACAAAGUACUUGCCCCCAAAAUGUUACUAUUUUUCUAGUUGUGUGAUUGAUUUUGCAAUCAGCAAUUUAAUAAUAAUGCAUUCAAUAGGUUUAUAAUAUGCAUUCAAUGUGACUCUUGCAUGUAUCUCAUAAAAAUAAAUUUGAAUAUUUUUCUCAUUUUAUCAUUCACAUAUCUUUGAGAAUGGGAUCAUAGUUUUAUUUUGAUAAUGAAGUAAUAGAGUCAAUUCCUGAAUAGGCUAGUUGACUUUAAUGAGAAAUAACCAUUUAUUCAUUCAUUCAUUUCAUUUUCAACUCUUAAAUCCAUAAUGGCCCCUUCACUAACUGGGGUUCUUAUAUUAAUAAGACGGACCAGGUACUUUUAUCACCUCCAAAAAAUCUUUGUAGGCAGAGCAAUAAAGAGUACUGAAUCAUUUUAAGAAGUCACAUAGAAAGUGACUUUUGAACAUGGAAGGACUGGGCUUGAUCAAGCAAAUUCUAUUUCAAAGUUUUACUUGCAAGGUUAUUUAUUACUGUGUGGAAUCUCACUCCUGUGGCUGGGGUCAAGAAAAAUGGGGACACAGGUGUCUGCCUAUUUGCACAGGCAUUAAAAAGUAUUGUAAAAUGAGCUUCAGCCUUUUAAGUUACUGUCUUCUUCUUUAUAAUAAUAAUCUUUUCCAUUUUACAAGGUCUAUAUUAUUUUUAGGUAAGAAAACACUGUAGAGUUCAUGUUUUAUUGUUCCUUGCAGUUAUAUAAAUUAUAUUUGGCCAAAACAAAUGUAAUUCCUACUGUGUGAACUGGGAACCCAAAAUGUUGAUUUUCCUCAAGUUAUAAACAAUGUGAAGAUAUGUUAUACUGGGUCACAAUUUUCCAGAGCAGAGCAAAAUAUAUAACUCAGUUUUAAUAACAAAACUGCAUAUAUCAUUAAAGUUUCCUACUUCACACAGAAUGUAUUAUAUUACUCUGCCCAGCAAGAGACAUCCUUUGUGUAGACCACAAUUUCUAAAAUACCAUUUGAUUGAAUAGAAAACAGGUUAGCCAUUUGUUAGUUUAAAAGAAAAUAUAAUGGUUAAAUGCUCAUGGACAUUCUGCUUUGUCUUUGCUAGUGAAUAUUAAAUUUCUUCUCACUAAGUUUAAAUGUCACAGAUUUUGUAAACGACAAGGUCUGGGGGAAAACCAUUAUGACCCUUUUCUGACUAUUAGAUGAAUCUUCAUAUUUUUAGCAACUUAGAAGCAGAUGUCCUCUCCUUUGCAGCACCAAUAAACCUUAUUUAUACAUGCACUAUAUCAACUUCAAGCCUUAUUGUAAUUAUUUACAUACAAGUCUGCCUCCCCAAAUAGACUUGCAACUUAACAAGGCAAAAUCCAGACUGCAUUAUGUUUGUAUUCUGGGCCCCUGGUUCAAUGCCUACCACAAAGUUGGAGCUCUAGAAAUAUUAAGUAAAAGAAUAUAUGCUGAGAAAUCACCACCAAA